UAUUGGAUUUAUUUUUCUAUGAAGAUGACAAUGAUGCUGAAUAUAUUGCACAAGCUAUUCGAGAACGACACAUUGAAAUACAAAUGUAUUAUGAACAUGUUAUUAUGGGAUAUUCAUUAAAUGAUAAGUAUAAUAUAAAGAUUAUUUAGUAAAGCAAUUCUCAUAAAAAGUAGUUAACCAUUAUAUUAAUUUUAAUAAAAAUUUUAUCAAGAAGUAUUCUAAAAAAUAAUAUCAAAUGCACGGCAAGUGAUGUUCUUAAUAAUAGUCUUUGAUAAUAAUUCGUUUUGUUUUUAUUAGUAUUAAUUCUGACAAUAAAUAAUUAUAAUGGAAUAUGUUCGUGUAUACUAAUAUUGAAUUUAUUACAAUUAACAUUUCCAGACGCAUUUCCGAGUAACAAGGAAUGUAUUCGAACAACUAGUUCAACUAUUUGGACCAAACUUACAUCGUGAUAUAGAUCGUGAAAAAAUAUCCCCAGAAAAAAAAUUGCCAUAGCUUUGUGGUUCUAUGGAAAUCAAGAAGUGUACAGUUUCAGAUCAAUAGCAGAUUCGGAGUUUCAAAAGACACUGUUUGGAGAUCGAUUUUUAAAGUAACUGAGGUGGUGGCAUCUAACGCACGUCAUUUUAUUAAGUGGCCCACGAUAGAUCAAAUGGCAAAUAUAGAGGAAGAAUUUUAUAAAAUUACUGGUUUUCUUGGGGUCAUAGGAGCCAUUGACGGUUGCUACAUUCAAAUAAGUGCUCCAACACAAGACACAAAUAGCUAUAUUAAUCGAAAGAAUUAUUUUUCCAUCUUACUGCAAGACAUUUGUGACUAUACACUAAAAUUUACGGACGUUUUUAUUGGAAUAUGUGGCAGCGUACAUGAUGCAAGAGUAUGGGAAUUGAGCGAUAUAAAAAGAUGUAUCAGAGCAGAUGAUUAUAGGCAUUUUCAACAUUUUUACCAUCUAAUGACUGAUAGUGCUUAUCCAUUAUCGAACAGAAUGCUCACACGCUAUCGCGAUAACGGUCACCUUAAUCCGAUACAAAUCAGUUAUAAUAGAAAACAUGCUAAGACUCGCGUAUUAAUAGAACUUGCUUUUGUAAUGUUAACAGGGCGAUUUA
Molecule: long non-coding RNA, 1097 nt
Organism: Odontomachus brunneus
Lineage: Eukaryota; Metazoa; Arthropoda; Insecta; Hymenoptera; Formicidae
Exons: 2
Source: RefSeq, a predicted model, not a curated record